AACUCUAAGCGGUGGAUCACUCGGCUCAUGGGUCGAUGAAGAACGCAGCAAACUGUGCGUCAUCGUGUGAACUGCAGGACACAUGAACAUCGACAUUUUGAACGCAUAUCGCAGUCCAUGCUGUUAUGUACUUUAAAUAAUUUUAUAGUGCUGCUUGGACUACAUAUGGUUGAGGGUUG
RNAcentral lists this ribosomal RNA (179 nucleotides) under Drosophila sechellia. Its description in RNAcentral is "5.8S ribosomal RNA". It matches the Rfam family "5.8S ribosomal RNA". From Rfam's summary of the family: 5.8S ribosomal RNA (5.8S rRNA) is a component of the large subunit of the eukaryotic ribosome. It is transcribed by RNA polymerase I as part of the 45S precursor that also contains 18S and 28S rRNA. Lineage: Eukaryota; Metazoa; Arthropoda; Insecta; Diptera; Drosophilidae. The record is from Rfam by way of RNAcentral.